Molecule: ribosomal RNA, 484 nt
Filed under: uncultured bacterium
Lineage: Bacteria
Description: partial 16S ribosomal RNA
Rfam family: Bacterial small subunit ribosomal RNA
Source: RNAcentral
AUUGAACGCUGGCGGCAUGCUUUACACAUGCAAGUCGAACGGCAGCGCGGGCUUCGGCCUGGCGGCGAGUGGCGAACGGGUGAGUAAUACAUCGGAACGUGCCCAGUAGUGGGGGAUAGCUCGGCGAAAGCCGGAUUAAUACCGCAUACGACCUGAGGGUGAAAGCGGGGGAUCUUCUGACCUCGCGCUAUUGGAGCGGCCGAUGGCAGAUUAGCUAGUUGGUGGGGUAAAGGCCUACCAAGGCGACGAUCUGUAGCUGGUCUGAGAGGACGACCAGCCACACUGGGACUGAGACACGGCCCAGACUCCUACGGGAGGCAGCAGUGGGGAAUUUUGGACAAUGGGCGAAAGCCUGAUCCAGCAAUGCCGCGUGUGUGAUGAAGGCAUUCGGGUUGUAAAGCACUUUUGGCGGGGACGAAAAGGACUGUGCCAAUACCACGGUUCGAUGACGGUACCCGCAGAAUAAGCACCGGCUAACUACGUG